UGCUACGUAACUAUAUAAUAAAGUCGACAAGUGUUAGCCUCUUCGCAGUACUUAAUAGAUCUGCUAGCAUUCACAAGUGUAUCAGAAUACUCAUGGCUAGUAUCUGCUUGGUAUUACUCACUAUUGUCCUAGUUGGACAAAUAGUCACGGACGGGCAAAUGUGUAAUAAUGGAGCUGUAAAGCUAUCAGUAGCAGGAUAUUUCCUUCUGAAAGAAAAGUAUGUACAGUACUGCCAUGAUGGAGAAUGGCAUUGGCUGUGUACUGGUGGUGGAAGCUGGAUGAGAGUGGAGGCCAAUGUUGUGUGCAGUUAACUGGGACUCAGCGACCAAGGAGCUAACAUAGGAGGUGGUACAAUGCUAACAGCAGCUGAUCAACCACUAGCCUACUUUAUGUUUAGUGGCAGAUGUACUGGAGAGGAAAGUAACAUAGGAGAGUGCAAUAUUCAUACCAGCACAUGUAAUAAGAGUGCAGGAUGGGUAAGAUAUCAACCAGGUAAGAGCAUUAACUUUUGCAAAUCAAAGUUAAUACUGCAUGAGAUAAUUAUACAGCCAACUGUAACGGUGGAGACAUAAGACUGGUGGGUGGUUCCACUAACAGAGAGGGACGAGUGGACGUCUGUAUGCAGGGAUAUUGGGCAUCCAUCAGUUACAAUGAAGUGCUGGCAGGCACUGUAUGCAAAAUGUUAGGAUAGUACUAACUCUUCUAUUGACCCAAAAGCCAACUGUACAGUGACAGAUGAUGGUGCCACCCUGAAAACAAAACAAGACUGAUUAAAACUAAUUACACACACUAACAGAUGGCCAUGGGACUACUAUCCAGUGAAAACUUGGAUGGGCCAAGUCACUUCCAGCCCGAGCACUUGUACCCAGUUCCAAUGAACUAGAAGAAACCAGACCAGCAAUUUUAAUUGUUUCGUAUUAUUGAGCAGUGUCUCAGAGUGGAUUUGUACAAUAUUCACAGGCUCGACUAAACAUUGUGAUAGCACUAUUUGCAGUGGCACCGGGAGCAGUUAUUGGUGUUCUAGUGGUCCUACUCUAAUUGGUUGUGCUAUUGCUAGAAGGAGAAACACUAACGGCAGCUAAUGUGUAAAUCAGUUAUUGCCCACCUAUAUUUUAUGCUAACUAUAAUAGUGCAUGCAGUUCCACAGGCAGAGGAAUGAGUCGUACGUUCUUCGAGGCGUGAUAGAACACUGCCUAGUAUAUACUGUCCAGCUAAAAUGGAGAAUAAGAAACCUUGUGUCUACAAGUCAUUCACUUUCAUUCAACGCCUACUCAGUUUAGAGAACUGUUGUGUUUGUGGGUUAACUAUGACAACAAAAGACGGACAAAUGCAACACAUGAAAGUAAUUAUUACUACUAAAUUAACAACUUGCAGCAUUAUAUAGCUUGUGCACAGUACAUGUAGACUAUACUUAAAAAUUACUGCUUACAUUCACAAGAGUAUAAUUAUAGCUUGAAUAUUAGUCAUGGCGAAUAUUAUCUCAGCACUACUAGGUCUAGUCACUAUUGCUUUAGUUGGACAACUCUCUGCAAUAGCACAAAGCUGUAAUAGUGGACAUGUUCAACUGUCACAUAACACAACGGACAAUAGAAGCUACGUUCAGUACUGCAUCGAUAGUAUUUGGAGGACUCUGUGUACUAGAUCGUGGUCGCGUGUUGAAGCGAAUGUUGUAUGCAGACAGCUAUAGGCUACAGUGACCAAGGAGCCAUAAAAGGGAUGAUUGGCUUUGGUGACAUUAUGGGAAAGUUCUUCAUGUUCAACCAAUCUUGUGCUGGUGGGGAGAAUACAUUAGCAGAGUGUAAGCCAACAAAUACAUUGGAACACUGUCAUUUGAGUGAAAAAAACAGACAAGGAUGGGUAAAAUACAUUCCAGGUAACGUGAUUUUUAGUCUAAUCAUAAACUAAGCUAACUGUGCUGAUGGAGCCCUAAGACUAGUGGGUGGGUCCAACAUAAAACAAGGACGAGUGGAGGUGUGUCAGAACAAGCGAUGGGGUACAAUAUGCUACAACCAAGCACUAGCUGGACAUGUUUGCUCUCAGCUAGGAUUUCCAAGCCAAGGUAAGAAACUUAUUCACAGCAAAUUAAAACAAUUUUUGUAGGAGCAGCAGCGAAGGAAAUGAAUACAACUGGCCCACAAAUUAACUGUAACGUCGAUACCAACAAUAGGUUGAGCUGUGGGAACAUCACUGACAGUGGGUUAUGUGUUCGAGGUUUAGCCGUUGAGUGUCCAUCGUUCAGUGAUACAAUAGCUACCAGUGCACUAGGAUCAGUGAUUGGACUUUUGGUGCUAUACUGGAAGUAGGGACAGUUAUUGCGUGGGUGGAUUGUAGGAAAAGGCGCUUAAUUCCAACAAAACAAAGCUAACUUUGCAUCCUAUAAUUAUAUGCUAUAACAUGCAGAGUUUUAAUACAAGUGAAUGAGAGCUACACUGACACAGCUCCUAUAGAACCGAGCUACAGUUCACUAGGUCCUAACUACAAUACUGUGACUACAAGCGAUGAAGGAAUUGGUGACUAUGAUGUCAUUGAUCACAAAAAACAGAAACUGAAACCAGCCAACCCACCACCAGUGAAGGUUGAGGCCAGUAAGAGUGAAGUAGAUGAGUUCUUCAAUACAGAGGUUCAUAUGUACGUAGCUGUCAAUAAGAAGAAAAGGAAUAAUGCUGGGGGAGAAUGAGCCUUGCAACUACAGUUAUAUAUAGCUAUAGUGUGUAGAGACACACUUGCAGUCUGUCAUCAUAGUAGCUACAUAGUUAAUACAUAAUUAUACCUUUGUGUAUGCAUCAUAACACUGAUUGUACAACAGUAAUCACAAUUCACAGUUGAAUCAUGAGGUGAAAACAAUCAAAGAAUUAAUGAAUACUGGGUCUUCUUGAAAGUUAUCUCUAGGGCUAUUGAGCAACUGUUAGAAUUCUUAGAAUAUGUUUUUGUUUUCAGGGACUGAACACUAGUAUCACUUGCUGUGUACAGAAUAAGCUCCAUUGGCUAUGCAGUCACUGUACUCAAGAACUUAUUGUAAAACGCUUUUUUUCAGUCAAAAAACUGUUGUACAUAAUCCAAAAGCUCGAUUACAUUUUGCUACCAUUGUAUAGGUACGGCUUGUAUCCAUGGUGAUGUCCGUAUAUAUAUGCAGAGUGGACCAGAGGACUGGGUAACUGCCUGGAGUGUUUCAGGUCUGUGUUAAUGGAGUGGAGAAGGGCAUGCAGGAAAUCAGGUGAUCUACCAGGGCUACUAAAUUAUAACUGUGUAUAUGUGCGCUAAUCUCAUAGUACCU
This is a long non-coding RNA of Halichondria panicea, 3274 nucleotides long. RefSeq lists it as uncharacterized. The record is from RefSeq and is a predicted model, not a curated record. NCBI's taxonomy places the organism in Eukaryota, Metazoa, Porifera, Demospongiae, Suberitida, Halichondriidae. The transcript is spliced from 5 exons.